This 465-nucleotide ribosomal RNA is filed under the name uncultured bacterium. RNAcentral's name for it is "partial 16S ribosomal RNA". It matches the Rfam family "Bacterial small subunit ribosomal RNA", at positions 339 to 795 of the family's 1533-position model. The record is from RNAcentral.
CUACGGGACGCACCAGUGGGGAAUAUUGGACAAUGGGGGAAACCCUGAUCCAGCAAUGCCGCGUGUGUGAAGAAGGCCUGCGGGUUGUAAAGCACUUUCGGUUGGGAGGACUGCUUCUAGCACUAAUAUUGUUGGAAGUUGACGUUACCUUCAGAAGAAGCACCGGCUAACUCCGUGCCAGCAGCCGCGGUAAUACGGAGGGUGCAUGCGUUAAUCAGAAUUACUGGGCGUAAAGCGCGCGUAGGCGGCUAGAUCAGUCGGGUGUGAAAGCCCCGGGCUUAACCUGGGAACUGCAUCCGAUACUGUCUAGCUUGAGUACAGGAGAGGAGAGUGGAAUUCCACAUGUAGCGGUGAAAUGCGUAGAUAUGUGGAGGAACACCAAUGGCGAAGGCAGCUCUCUGGCCUGAUACUGACGCUGAGGUGCGAAAGCGUGGGGAGCAAACAGGAUUAGAUACCCGAGUAGUC